AAACAGAGCCAGGGCGUCACCAGGCCCAUUUCUCAUGCCAAGGCAGCUGCUGGGAGAGGAGAUGGGAUUACACUGAGAUAUGGAUGACUUGGCAGGGUGACUAUCUCCUUCUGUGGCACAAUUGUGUCUGAGGGCUUACAGAGACAAUAUGGUGAAGAUCAACUUCCACGAGUCCAACCACGUCGACAGAGACAACAUGGUGGACAGCCUGAAGGCCCAGCUGCCGCCCAGGAGUUGGAGUUGAAAGAAAGGAUCGCUGGUAGUUUCAGUGAUGGAGGCGAAUCAUCUCCCCAUAACGCAUUACCAGGGGCAAACUACCUGCCCUCCAUGACACCUACAGCACCCGAUGUCACAGGAAGGCCAAAAAUAUCAUCAAGGAUAUCAACCACCCGAGCCACUGCCUGUUCACCCUGCUAUCAUCCAGAAGGCGAG
This 432-nucleotide long non-coding RNA is filed under the name Salmo salar (Atlantic salmon). Its description in RNAcentral is "lncRNA (ENSSSAG00000093024.1, ENSSSAG00020071901.1)". Lineage: Eukaryota; Metazoa; Chordata; Actinopteri; Salmoniformes; Salmonidae. The record is from RNAcentral.